CUUGGAAAAAAUUUUCCCUGAGCUCCAAAUCAGUAUAUUUGUACCAUAAUUCUAGAUGGAGACAGAAUGGCAGGAUGGAUGGAGAUUUACAAAAGGUGGCUUUUCCUUCUGACACUUUUGUCUUUGCUUGAGUGCCCCCCUUCCUGCCACCUGCCAGGAUCAGGUUGGACAAGAAGAGAGGGAACAGCAGCCUGGCAGAUGCUGCCACGUGUUAUAGGUCACCAUCUGCCAAAUACAGUGUUUCUAAGAAGUUGUUUCUGUGCCUCUUCUGGAAAGAAUUUGUCCUUCAGUAUAUGUGAUUGCUACAUGUUGAUAAAAGCAAGAGAAAAACAAUAAAAC
RNAcentral lists this long non-coding RNA (339 nucleotides) under Bos indicus x Bos taurus (hybrid cattle). Its description in RNAcentral is "lncRNA (ENSBIXG00005005302.1)". The record is from RNAcentral. Lineage: Eukaryota; Metazoa; Chordata; Mammalia; Artiodactyla; Bovidae.